UCCAGGGUAGCCUAGUGUACAUGGCAUCUGCCUGGUAAAAUAAACACUGUGAGUUCGAUUCCCAUCCUUGGAU
This is a non-coding RNA of Cordylochernes scorpioides, 73 nucleotides long. The record is from the annotation of a GenBank genome assembly. Lineage: Eukaryota; Metazoa; Arthropoda; Arachnida; Pseudoscorpiones; Chernetidae.